Molecule: long non-coding RNA, 764 nt
Filed under: Lathyrus oleraceus (garden pea)
Lineage: Eukaryota; Viridiplantae; Streptophyta; Magnoliopsida; Fabales; Fabaceae
Description: Pisum sativum (pea) long non-coding RNA (PSAT_LNC001474)
Source: RNAcentral
UUCAUUUUACCACCUUUAUACGAACAAAUACAUUAGAAAUAUGUCACCAUAUAAAUCACCAAAUAUAUAACUUUCUGUAUAAAUAGUAUAGAGUAAAUAACCUAACUACUACAACUAACAAUGACUAAUCGUAAAAUAAAAACAGUUACAAAUACAUACUUAUGAAGAUAAAAGAGUUACUAUCUUAAUACAAAUAUGAAACAAGAAGAAAAAAGUGACACUGGAUAGGUAAACAGGUGACCUAAAGUAAUCACUAGAUACAUAACUACAAUAAUAAAAUUAAAAUUAUAAAAACUUACACAUUAUUUUUUCAUAAACCAAUAACUCACAUUUCUCAAACUUAUAACUAAACAAGUUCGAUACAAACUCUUGACUCAUGUAGAAGAAUACUCACUCCCAUAUUCUUCUCCAACUCACUUUCAUGGUUAUGUGAGAAUCUUGCAUUCAAACAUGAAUCAUCUUCAUCAGUGUCAAAGGAUGUAGAAGAAACAAAUGAAUCUUGGUGUUCAAUUUUUUUUGUUCUUAUUAGGAAAGAUAGAAGAAGUACGAGAGAAGCCAUAAGCAUAAAGAAUGAAACUAUUAUAGGUUUAACUUAAUUUGAAAUGGAAAGUUCAAUGUGUUUAAAUAAGGUUAUGGCUAUAUAUGUGUUGAGAAAUUAAUGAUGCAUAGAAAAAGACAAGUUGUUGCAUAUUUAGUUUUUCUUGUGGGUUUCAUUAUUAGUAGAGAAAAUUUGGCUAUGGUGUUGCCAAAGUAGUUGUGGUUGU